RNAcentral lists this ribosomal RNA (497 nucleotides) under uncultured bacterium. RNAcentral describes it as "partial 16S ribosomal RNA". It matches the Rfam family "Bacterial small subunit ribosomal RNA", at positions 28 to 507 of the family's 1533-position model. The record is from RNAcentral.
GAUGAACGCUGGCCGCGUGCCUAAUACAUGCAAGUCGAGCGAACGGACGAGAAGCUUGCUUCUCUGAUGUUAGCGGCGGACGGGUGAGUAACACGUGGAUAACCUACCUAUAAGACUGGGAUAACUUCGGGAAACCGGAUCUAAUACCGGAUAAUAUUUUCAACCGCAUGGUUCAAAAGUGAAAGACGGUCUUGCUGUCACUUAUAGAUGGAUCCGCGCUGCAUUAGCUACUUGGUAAGGUAACGGCUGACCAAGGCACCGAUGCAUAGCCGACCUGAGAGCGUACAGGGUCAGACAAGGUCUGAGACACGGUCGAGACUCGCUGAGGAGGCAGACGUAGGGAAUCUACCGCCAUGCGCGCAAGCCUGACGCAGCAACGCCGCGUGAGUGAUGAGGGUCUUCGCAGCGUAGAACGCUGUUCUUCGCGCAGGACACAUGUGUAAGUCACUGGGAACAUUUUGACGGCAGCUAAACAGAAAGCCACGCUUACCCACGUG